AUGUACCGAGCAAUAUUGUAUUUGCACCGUGUCAUGUGUCGUGUAUACGAUCCGAGUGUACUACAGUCUACAUCUCACAAACAAACUAAAUACUCCCUGCUAAAUCAGCAAUAUGAAACGGAGCGACUACUGUCUUAUGUAUGUACGGAUAGGAUGAUGCGAAACUUCCCUAACUUUUUCUUUCAAUCAGGCAAGCCCUUUUCCAUUAAUUUCUCCACUGCAGACUUACACAACUUGAGAGGAAAACUGACUAAGGGCAUCUUCAAUGGUGACUCGCAAAUUUUCUCCCGCAUCCGUCCGUGGAUAGGGACCAGUUUGCGGACAUCGAUGCGGGAGGCCACCAUCCAAUGCUAA
Molecule: ribosomal RNA, 354 nt
Filed under: Triticum aestivum (bread wheat)
Lineage: Eukaryota; Viridiplantae; Streptophyta; Magnoliopsida; Poales; Poaceae
Description: partial small subunit ribosomal RNA
Source: RNAcentral